RNAcentral lists this non-coding RNA (63 nucleotides) under Hyphomicrobiales bacterium. Its description in RNAcentral is "Rhizobiales bacterium Fluoride sequence". It matches the Rfam family "Fluoride riboswitch aptamer (crcB RNA motif)". The record is from RNAcentral. Lineage: Bacteria; Pseudomonadati; Pseudomonadota; Alphaproteobacteria; Hyphomicrobiales.
UUCCCGUGCGGUGAUGGAGUUCACCAUGUAACCGCCCCCAGGGCUGAUGACUCCUCUGUUGCU